Long non-coding RNA from Prionailurus viverrinus (fishing cat), 645 nucleotides. RefSeq lists it as uncharacterized. The transcript is spliced from 4 exons. NCBI's taxonomy places the organism in Eukaryota, Metazoa, Chordata, Mammalia, Carnivora, Felidae. The record is from RefSeq and is a predicted model, not a curated record.
UACAGUGUUUUUUUGUUGUUGUGGGGAGGCGGAGCCCACGUGCUCUUGCAGAGUCUGAAGGCCUUUUGGAACCGCUAUUUCCGCAAGAAAGUAGGAACCGGCCCGGCUGAUUAGGAGAGUGUGGUCUAUCACCUACAGCCGGCGGAAUUGUGCGGGCUGGCGAACAUUCUUAAUGCUGCGCACUAGGAGAAUUCACUUCUGAGGUCUUCGAACCAGAAAACAAGAACACUUGACUGUUUAAAAAAACACAGGUGCCUGUGCCGUGUGAUAACCAGGAGAUACAGCCCAGGGCGGGGGAGUACGUGUUCGACCAAAGCAGCCUCCUACCCGGCACCACCACUACUGGCCGAGAGGCACUGGGCAAACUAGUCUCUUCACCCUUAUCCACCUACUAGGGUGGUUACGAGAACGAAGUGAGAUCAUCCGUGUAGAGCUCUCAGUGACAUGCCAUGCGGUAUUCAAAGGACGGCUGCUUCCUGUUCUGCCUUGGUUGUCACCUAAUCAUCUGCGAUUUCUACCGGAACAAUGAAGGUGAUGUUUCCACCUCAAAGUAAGCUUAUAAGGACUUCUGGAAGGAGAAGAGUCAGUGGCCCAUAAGAUGGUAACCGAGCUUUCUUACGUUGCACACUGUCCCAGAGGUUUGGU